This 253-nucleotide ribosomal RNA is filed under the name uncultured bacterium. RNAcentral's name for it is "partial 16S ribosomal RNA". It matches the Rfam family "Bacterial small subunit ribosomal RNA", at positions 524 to 776 of the family's 1533-position model. The record is from RNAcentral.
UACGAGGGGGGCGAGCGUUGCUCGGAAUCACUGGGCGUAAAGGGUGCGUAGGCGGGUCUUUAAGUCAGGGGUGAAAUCCUGGAGCUCAACUCCAGAACUGCCUUUGAUACUGAGGAUCUUGAGUUCGGGAGAGGUGAGUGGAUCUGCGAGUGUAGAGGUGAAAUUCGUAGAUAUUCGCAAGAACACCAGUGGCGAAGGCGGCUCACUGGCCCGAUACUGACGCUGAGGCACGAAAGCGUGGGGAGCAAACAGG